Molecule: long non-coding RNA, 1131 nt
Filed under: Betta splendens (Siamese fighting fish)
Lineage: Eukaryota; Metazoa; Chordata; Actinopteri; Anabantiformes; Osphronemidae
Description: lncRNA (ENSBSLG00000026649.1)
Source: RNAcentral
GCUGCGUCCCACGGGAAAAUGCAUCGUGCAGCCAUGGAAACCAUAAGGCUAGGUGUUAUGCUAUAAUUGGGCCAGCAUUUUUAACGGUGCAGCUGCACUGCCAGGUAUGCCACUGUCUUCAAAUGAGAAAUUAUAGGGGAGCCGCAGCCGAGCAGACGCAGCCGACUUCACGGGAGCCUUUUUCCUGUGUGAGGGGUUCUCAAUCGCACUUACGGCGUGGAAGAGCCAACGGAAACAUGUUUGCUCCUGUCCGGGUGCAAGACGGAGACGGAUCGAGGAAGGAGACGAGGAAGGGAAGAGGAGGAGGGAGCGUGAGGAGGAGGAGGGGAAGAGGGGAAAGAUGGUCGUCAGCCAAUCCCUGCUCAGUCUCCGUAACUUGGUUGAUUACGAUCAAUUUCCCUGGUAUCGAUGGCCUCGCUGGCUCCGAGCUACGCUCCCUCCUGCACUUUGCAUGCUCUCCCUCAGAUAUCGGGAUGCGGCCGCAAUUGGAGGUGCCGUGGCGAAUCCUCCCGAUCCGCCUGCAGACGGGGCCGGAUCAGAACCACACGCAGUCAUGCUGACCCACGGGCGUGCGAGUCACAGUCACACUGACAACGCGUUGGUUUGUUUAAACCCGAGUGAUUCACGUAAACCAAUAAGUGAGGCAAUAAAAGCUGACCCGACCCAGGCGACCGUCAUUAUUAGACGAAGUCGCACCGUAGGAUCCGCUACAGAAGGAGCACAGGUGCACCAGGAAGAAGCCUCCACCCGCUCCAGCAGCCGCCCACUGUGCAGUGUUCACUGUAGUCGUGUUAUUUAAAGGAAUGCGCUUUUCUGGGGGGAGUUCUGGCCCCGUGGUGCAGCUGUUGCAGCGCUGCAGUGGACCAGUGGCGCUGUGACAUCUGUUGUUAUGCCAUUAUUAGGAUCCCCCCGCCCCCCGUUAGUGUCACCACGGCACACACUCCACCCAAAAGAAGGAGAGGAGGCAAACGCAGGUGGCUGAGCCGCAACACUGGUGGAACUUCAGAUGAAAAAGGAACAAUGCAUCAGUGGAAACAAGCUGAAAAAUGAUGAGGCUUUGGUGAAAACAAGAGGAAAGGACAACAGCAGCUUAAGAGAUGACAUAUUUCUGAUAUUAUAUAGAUAUAUGAG